RNAcentral lists this ribosomal RNA (574 nucleotides) under uncultured Thermoplasmatales archaeon. RNAcentral describes it as "bacterial SSU rRNA". It matches the Rfam family "Archaeal small subunit ribosomal RNA", at positions 339 to 910 of the family's 1478-position model. The record is from RNAcentral. Lineage: Archaea; Methanobacteriati; Thermoplasmatota; Thermoplasmata; Thermoplasmatales.
UCGCGAAAACUUCACAAUGGGAGCAAUCCCGAUGAGGGAAUUCCAAGUGCUAGCACUAUGUGUUAGCUGUUCUUUUGUCUAAAAAACAGAAGAAGUAAGGGCCGGGUAAGACGGGUGCCAGCCGCCGCGGUAAUACCCGCGGCCCGAGUGGUGGUCGAUAUUAUUGAGCCUAAAACGUCCGUAGCCGGUCUUGUAAAUCCUUGGGUAAAUCGGCCAGCUUAACUGUCCGAAGUCCGGGGGAGACUGCAAGACUUGGGAUCGGGAGAGGUCAGAGGUACUUCUGGGGUAGGGGUAAAAUCCUGUAAUCCUGGAAGGACCACCGGUGGCGAAGGCGUCUGACUAGAACGAAUUCGACGGUGAGGGACGAAGCCCUGGGGCGCAAACGGGAUUAGAUACCCCCGGUAGUCCAGGGUGUAAACGCUGCGGGCUUGGUGUUGGGGGUCCUUUGGUGGGCGCCCAGUGCCGGAGAGAAGUUGUUAAGCCUGCUGCUUGGGGAGUACGUCCGCAAGGAUGAAACUUAAAGGAAUUGGGCGGGGGAGCGACCGCAACGGGAGGAGCGUGCGGUUCAAGUUGG